RNAcentral lists this long non-coding RNA (1058 nucleotides) under Camelus dromedarius (Arabian camel). Its description in RNAcentral is "lncRNA (ENSCDRG00005010907.1)". The record is from RNAcentral. Lineage: Eukaryota; Metazoa; Chordata; Mammalia; Artiodactyla; Camelidae.
GCGAGGAGUCGCCGCCGUUUGUCGCGUCACUUCCGGCCCAUGACUUCCGGGCGUGGCGGCACUUCCGCCCUUUAGCCCUGCCUCUGCUCCCGGCCCGCCCACCCCGGGCCUGCCCGCACCCCGCUGGUUCCCNNNNNNNNNNNNNNNNNNNNNNNNNNNNNNNNNNNNNNNNNNNNACCGGCCUCCAGGGCCGGGCCGGGGCCGGGGCCGGGUCCACGUCCCUCAGGCUGCCCGGCCGCGCGGCGUCUGGCCCGGGGCUCCUCGAACAGGAACUGCCUCUCCAGAGAGCAACCUGAAUUACGGGGGCGAAGGGGACCAGGCGGUGGAAACACAGGAGCUGGAGUCAGGGGGCAGCUGUGACCCCGGCGGGACUGGGUGCAGAGGACCUGCCCGGCUGGGACUGCCUGACCCCCAGCCCCUCCCGGCCUUCACAUGUGACGCCCCACACCACCUCUGAGGGUCUUCACCACUCCCGGGGGCGGCCUUCAGCUCAGGAUUUCAACCCCAGCUCUUGCCCAGUGGUAAGUGUUGUGUCGUGGGGUUGCCUGUCAUCGUGUGGAGAGGACCCGGCCGUCACUCAGCUGUGUGCUGCCCUGCACCUCGUUCUCGCUGCUGGCCCACUUCGCAUGCUGUGAAAAGCCCAGGAUUUCUGUUCCUUCUCUUGUGGUCGCUGAGGGUGUUUCCCAGCUGUCACGACGAGCAGGCCUGUCUCGAUGUCUGUGUGCACGUCUCAUGCAGGACUUCUGGGGGGAGUUCGAGGUCGGAGCUGCUGGUCUGUGGGGUGUGCAGAGGUUUCUGUGCCAAGAUGGAACCAGAUGAUUUCCCGAAGUGCUGUCCCGGUCUGCGCCCCACCGGCAGUGUCUGAGUUCCUCCAGGUCUAAGUCUGUCCAGCAUCUCUGGGUGUUGUCAGACUUGCUGCUCAAAGAGAACUUGCUGUGCUGGCCCAGCUGCACAAGGGAGAGACUGGGUCUGACGGAGCUUGUGAUCUUGGGUGGGGCGGGUCUCACUUGAGAAGUCGUAGCCGCAGGCCUGAUCACCAGGCAGGCGUGGGUUUGUCU